CGUAGGUGAACCUGCGGAGGGAUCAUUACCGAGUUUACAACUCCCAAACCCAAUGUGAACGUUACCAAACUGUUGCCUCGGCGGGAUCUCUGCCCCGGGUGCGUCGCAGCCCCGGACCAAGGCGCCCGCCGGAGGACCAACCAAAACUCUUUUUGUAUACCCCCUCGCGGGUUUUUUUUUAUAAUCUGAGCCUUCUCGGCGCCUCUCGUAGGCGUUUCGAAAAUGAAUCAAAACUUUCAACAACGGAUCUCUUGGUUCUGGCAUCGAUGAAGAACGCAGCGAAAUGCGAUAAGUAAUGUGAAUUGCAGAAUUCAGUGAAUCAUCGAAUCUUUGAACGCACAUUGCGCCCGCCAGUAUUCUGGCGGGCAUGCCUGUCCGAGCGUCAUUUCAACCCUCGAGCCCCUCCGGGGGGUCGGCGUUGGGGAUCGGCCCUGCCUCUUGGCGGCGGCCGUCUCCGAAAUACAGUGGCGGUCUCGCCGCAGCCUCUCCUGCGCAGUAGUUUGCACACUCGCAUCGGGAGCGCGGCGCGUCCACAGCCGUUAAACACCCAACUUCUGAAAUGUUGACCUCGGAUCAGGUAGGAAUACCCGCUGAACUUAAGCAUA
Molecule: ribosomal RNA, 605 nt
Filed under: Trichoderma harzianum
Lineage: Eukaryota; Fungi; Ascomycota; Sordariomycetes; Hypocreales; Hypocreaceae
Description: eukaryotic LSU rRNA
Rfam family: 5.8S ribosomal RNA (bases 232-385)
Source: RNAcentral